AAAAUAAAAGAGACUGGCCAUCUUACUUGUCACAGUUGGUGUUUGCAUACAAUACCACAGAACACCAGUCUACAGGUUACUGUCCUUAUGUCCUGAUGUUUGGACAAGAACCACACUUACCGGUAGAUUUUAUGUUAGGACUGGAUGACUAUGGCCCAACAAAUGUGGACUGGAUAGUUGACCACCGAGAUAAUUCCCGAGCCCAUCUUCAGAAAGCUGCAGCUCAGCGUGCCCGUGUAAAUGAUGCUAAGGUGUCACAGAUGACAUUAAGGGAAGGCCAUUUGGUAUAUAAAAAAGCACAUGAUCAUCAAGGCAGAAAGAAAAUCCAGGAUGUUAUCAAAUUGUUCGAUGUCCCGAGGGGCAAGGGUCUGUAUAUUCUAUUAUUCCAGUUGAUGGUGGAAAAGUGAGACAAAUACACUGUAGUGAGUUGUGACCAGUUUAUGUCCCAUCAGAAGGUCGAACCGAAAGUCCAGGACUAUUCCCUUUAAGUGAGGAUCCUUAAGGAGCAGAGAAGGGAUAUGAUAGUCAUGUUAUCAAGUGAACCUGGUGUGCCUGCAGAGAAUGAGUCAUGCAUACCACUUCCAGCAGAAGAAGGUGAUCCUGAAGAGCUGACUUUACAGCCAUGUCGACAACCGGAACAGCCAGUGCAGCGACAGGUGGACCUAGUAAGGCGGACAACCCGGUCCACAGCAGGGCAGCAUACAAAUCCACAUAAUCUUCCUCAGUCAGCCGUGUGUAGAGAAGUCCAUUCAAAUGGUUAUAUCUUUCUCCCGAGAACAGAGCUCUCCAGUGUUACAAACACCCUGUUUUUUUGACCAUGGUCAUAGAAAUUUGAUCGACGGGACGUCAAUUUAAAGUAAGGGAGGUAUAUUGUAAUGGGAUGGAGGUAGCAUUAGUAGUGGCUCCAUAUUAGGCAUGCUUGGGACUAAAAAAUGUGUUGGACUACAGAUCCCAUGAGUCCAAGUACUAUAAAGGGGGAAAUCAAAUCUUCUGGCCUUUCUCUUUGUGGGACCAUGUGCUGAGUAGGAGAAGCUGUGUGUAUGCUUAAAGGAUAUAUACUGGUGGAUGCCUCAGAAAUUGAGUAGAUUCAUUCAUUAACACAGAUGAUGCAUGAUUGCCGUUUACUUUUAUCUAAAAUAUUGGUGGGUUAAUGUUGGGUUGUAAGAUAUAUGACUUUUAAAAGUUUACACUAUGAUGAAGUGAUUUGAAUUUAUUGUGGGAGUUUGUUUUUGUUUUGUUUAUUUGUUUUUGUUUUGUUUUAAUCAACCAAAGACAAAGGGGUUCCCAUUCUUGUAUGUAUGGUUGACUCUCUUAAGGUGAUUGGGCACAAUUUGUAGUGGUUUGAGUCAAGUGCGUGUUGGUUUUCUAUUACACUUGUAGUGUUAUUGGUUUUGUGCUGUGAUUUGAUUGUGCUCUUUAAUAGUGGAAUUGCCAUUGUAUGGGAUUGGGGAACCCUAUGGUCUGUAGUGGGUUAAACCUUUUUGUUCUUUUAGUUUC
Carassius auratus (goldfish) is the source of this 1497-nucleotide long non-coding RNA. RefSeq lists it as uncharacterized. The transcript has 3 exons. The record is from RefSeq and is a predicted model, not a curated record. Lineage: Eukaryota; Metazoa; Chordata; Actinopteri; Cypriniformes; Cyprinidae.